UCUCCAGACUCCUACGGGAGGCAGCAGUGGGGAAUAUUGGGCAACGGGCGCAAGCCUGACCCAGCAACGCCGCGUGAAGGAAGAAGGCUUUCGGGUUGUAAACUUCUUUUCUCAGGGACGAAUAGAUGACGGUACCUGAGGAAUAAGCCACGGCUAACUACGUGCCAGCAGCCGCGGUAAUACGUAGGUGGCAAGCGUUAUCCGGAUUUACUGGGUGUAAAGGGCGUGUAGGCGGGGACGCAAGUCAGAUGUGAAAACCACGGGCUCAACCUGUGGCCUGCAUUUGAAACUGUGUUUCUUGAGUACUGGAGAGGCAGACGGAAUUCCUAGUGUAGCGGUGAAAUGCGUAGAUAUUAGGAGGAACACCAGUGGCGAAGGCGGCCUGCUGGGCUUUAACUGACGCUGAGGCUCGAAAGCGUGGGUAGCAAACAGGAUUAGAUACCCUUGUA
RNAcentral lists this ribosomal RNA (449 nucleotides) under uncultured bacterium. Its description in RNAcentral is "bacterial SSU rRNA". It matches the Rfam family "Bacterial small subunit ribosomal RNA", at positions 328 to 792 of the family's 1533-position model. The record is from RNAcentral.